This 495-nucleotide ribosomal RNA is filed under the name uncultured bacterium. RNAcentral describes it as "partial 16S ribosomal RNA". It matches the Rfam family "Bacterial small subunit ribosomal RNA", at positions 28 to 507 of the family's 1533-position model. The record is from RNAcentral.
GACGAACGCUGGCGGCGUGCCUAAUACAUGCAAGUAGAACGCUGAAGGAGGAGCUUGCUUCUCUGGAUGAGUUGCGAACGGGUGAGUAACGCGUAGGUAACCUGCCUGGUAGCGGGGGAUAACUAUUGGAAACGAUAGCUAAUACCGCAUAAUAGUAGAUGUUGCAUGACAUUUGCUUAAAAGGUGCAAUUGCAUCACUACCAGAUGGACCUGCGUUGUAUUAGCUAGUUGGUGAGGUAACGGCUCACCAAGGCAACGAUACAUAGCCGACCUGAGAGGGGGAUCGGCCACACUGGGACUGAGACACGGCCCAGACUCCUACGGGAGGCAGCAGUAGGGAAUCUUCGGCAAUGGACGGAAGUCUGACCGAGCAACGCCGCGUGAGUGAAGAAGGUUUUCGGAUCGUAAAGCUCUGUUGUAAGAGAAGAACGAGUGUGAGAGUGGAAAGUUCACACUGUGACGGUAUCUUACCAGAAAGGGACGGCUAACUACGUG